GUGAAUGUUUGCUUUUUUGUUUCUGUCAAUAUUUAAGUAUGUCUCAUUUAUGAAGGGUUGAUUCUAAGAUGUUUAUACACUCAUUCCACAUAUUGUAUUUAUUGAUAUUCCAACAAAAAAGUUGAUACAAUCGAUAUAAUGUACUUUUACAUUUUACAUCUGAGUUACAUUGUGUUCAAUAAAUGCAGCCAUCUGUUAAUAUAUCUGUUUGUGAUCAACAAAUAAAGGUAUGUAUAAGUUCUGAUUUUUACAAACGAGAGCCUAUUUAUUUUAAAUGACUGUAACAAUGGGGUUUGAAACCUUACAUCACAACUCACCUUACAUCACAACUUAAUAUUAUUGACUGGAACGAUCUAGCCAGUCACAUUGUAACCCUGACUAUGUGAUACAGAAGUAGACAUUCUCUACCUCUAAUCAGCUACCAUUCAUUGUUCCAUUUUCAAUUUCUAGACUGCGUAAAGUUUGUAAUCAACUUUAGUGGGCCACCUUUGAUGAUACACGCUGGAUUUUUCAUACAGAGAAAUGUUAAUGAAGACAACCUAGUUGACUACAGAUAUUUAGGGACAUGGGACCUUACAGUUUGUUAUUUAGUUCACUUAAGCUUGGUUCUAAUGUAAUAGGUUCUAUAAUAUUAUAACCAGUUCCCAGC
This is a non-coding RNA of Pelobates cultripes (western spadefoot toad), 649 nucleotides long. NCBI's taxonomy places the organism in Eukaryota, Metazoa, Chordata, Amphibia, Anura, Pelobatidae. The record is from the annotation of a GenBank genome assembly.